Molecule: long non-coding RNA, 3057 nt
Organism: Triticum urartu
Lineage: Eukaryota; Viridiplantae; Streptophyta; Magnoliopsida; Poales; Poaceae
Source: RefSeq, a predicted model, not a curated record
ACCCAGAUUUUGCCACAUCUUUGCUGAAAGAUUCCCCCCCUCUCUCUCUCUCUCUCGCUAACCCCUCUCUCUCCCCAUCGCCCCUACCCAUGCCGGCCGGCUCCGGCCGCCGCACGCCCCCGAGCUCCCCAAGAUCCGCGCCUCCAACCCUCCGUACAGAUCCGGUGCUCAAAGUCUCCACCCUCCCCUGCCGCUAGGAUUCGGGCUAGGGUUCUGCCGCCAUGGCCUAGCGCACCCUCGCCAUCGACCUCCCCAAGCCCCCUCUCUCCGCCGAACGAGGAGGCCCCUGCCGCGAGCCCCUCCUCUUCCCUGUCUCGCCGGCCUUGUUCUCUGCCGCUCUCCUCGUUGGCCAUCGCUCCAGAUCGCGGAGGAGGAUCUGCUGCCGGAUCCGCGCAAUUGAGAGUGAGGAGGACGAAGGUGAGGGAAGCAGCAGCAAGGAUGGUGGCUGGUGAUGGGUCAGGGGCCACCAGAGGAGGGGGAACCUGCUUCUCUCCUUCCAUACUUGAUAGCUCACCAAAUUAGUCUGAAUAUAGCAAGGUUCAGUGAGUAGUGCGUGCCCUCGGGGCUGGACGAGGCAGAGAUGUGCCGAGGAUCCGCACACACUUGGUCGUCAUCUUCUCCGCCUCAACUUCCUUGACGGCACCUGGCCUUGAGCUCCAGCCAUAGCAGAUUGCCCCCCAGCCUGCUCCAUGUAGGUUUUAAAGCGAAAAAUUGAAGAAGUUGUGAUGGCCACAAAAAGACAGAAAGAUUUGCACGAAGCGAAGACGUCCACCCGGUAUACAUAUGGUUAGAAGCUACCUUGAUGUAAACUACUGAAGAUGAACUUGAAGUUGCUGCAAAGGCAUACAAAUUAUUCACACUAUGAAUGACAAUUACGAAAGAUGACGCUUGUCAUGGACCCUCGGGCUGUGGCAAAACCACCCUUUUGCUGGCACUUGUUGGAAAGCUCAACAAAGAUCUCAAGGUAUCCCCGUCGGUCGGCGUCGUCUGUUGUUAAUUCUAUAUUUUUGUGUUGCUAUGAGCUCUAUGUAUGUAGAUCUGAAAUUUCACGCAGAGAACAUUGUGUGCGGCAUAUUUCACUACUUUCUUCGCUCACAAAAAUACUAUUACCACUAAGGCUCUAUGUAUGUAGAUGUCUCACAAAUUGAGGUUGGUUAUAUCUGCCUUAUGCUACAAUUUUUUUUGCAUUAUUCAUUUUCUUGUUAUUCAGUUCUGAGCUUCCAUGGUGACGACCUCUUAUUCAGUAUUAAGUCUUCUCAUUCUUCAUUCAUCAGUCGUCAAUUUUCAGUCUUCAGUCUCCAUGUUUUAUUAUUUAGUAGUGUUUUUAGCCAUCAACAUCCAUGUAUUCUCUACUUUCAGCCUUGUUAGUUGUUAGUAUCACUAUGUAUCGAUAAUCCUCAUUGUCCAUUCAUCAGUUAUAAUUUAUAAUUAAUUUGCCUUGCUAUUAAUCAUUUUCCAGUUUUCAUAUCAUUUUUCAUUUAUCAGUCUUGUUAUUCGCUAUGUCGAUUUCAGUAUCUCAGUGAUUACUCUUCACUUUUUUUCAGUUUGUCCAUGAUAAUUUUGGCGAGAAGGCAUUGCAGGUUGGGCCGCUGGAAUGGGAAGUUGCUUCUCCUGUUGCUACAUGGUUGAUAUAGGUCUUGCAAUGGGCAUGUCAGGGACAGAAGUUGCUAAAGAAAGCUCCAACAUUAUAAUCUUGGAUGAUGACUUCACAUCUGUUGUGAAGGUUAUAUGGUUUGUACAUGGCGGUGUUACUGAACAGAAGGAGGUAAUUUCUUCGCUCUUUCUAUUGAUUAAUAUUGUUCUUCACUCUUUCUAAACUAUUGAAUUUAUUAAUAUUAUUCUUGCCUAACCUCACAAAACUUUGGUAUGCACUCACGUAUAAUCAGGGCUUGCUUAUUUUAAUUCUUGAAUUAAUUUUUAUAAAUAUUAUAUCAUUAUUAUUUGUAAUCAGUUUUUCGUUUAUGAUUUCCAAUUGGGUAAUAUCCCAUCAUACUACUAGGCAUUGGCCAGGUACUAGACUUUGCCUGGUUGUCAAUAUAAGCUCUGUGUUCUCCUUUGUUUUUACCUCAUUUAUAAAGUCCUUGAUUGAGCAUGCAUUUGAUUUCUAUGCCAACUUAGAUCUUAUUGCUCAUCAAAGGUAUCUAAAAGUUGUGUGCUCUGCAACAGAUGGGUUAUUUUAGUCAAUAGAAAUACCUCGUAUGUCAGUUUUGUUGCCAAAUAUUGUAAACACAGAUAUAUACAGAGUUCCUAGAACAGAUGAUGAUCUGGUAGUUACCUUUCUGUUAUUUACUUGAAUGACUGUACGUAUAUCUUACCUUCAGACUUUAUCCGAUCUUGGUUAAUUUUCCAUCUCCAAUCAGAUUAAUGGUUUGCAUGCAGACCAAGCCCAGUGUUUUAUGGUGUUCUUAUUCCUGAUUUAGUUGUACAUUUGACUUUUAGUUUCUUUGUAGAUAAUAAAGUAGUGGCAGAUGAACCGGUAAGUUAUCUGUGCCCAUGCUUUGCUGUAAGCAUUAAAUUUGCUCUCUGCUUUUAGUUUCGAUGUGUUAUCCGUACCCCUUCUUUUUGUGGCUAAUUAUUAUGUCCUAUCAACAUAUGCAGAGUCCAUGGUAUCAUACGAUUUGAAGUUGAAAAAUUCAUGCUAUGGGUGAUACAGAGAAGUCAUUGGCUUCUUUGCUGGAACAUUUCCUAAGAUGAUCUAAGGUGAAGCAGUUAUGAAUAUCCUCGCUGAUCUAUGGAUCUAUCAUUGUAAGAGUCGAUGGUAUAUGGUGAGGUGCCUCACACCAUCAUUUGGUCUUUGUAGCAUUUGAGUUGGCAAAUUUGUUGGAUUCAUGCGAUUAGGCAUGAGCUGGAGGAAGAAGUUGUGAGGCGUGGAGCUCAGGGACAACAGUGAGGACAAUGCCUCUUUAGUUGUAAUUGUGAUACUCCUGAUGUGCAAGUAAACACUCCUGUGAUACUCCUUAUGAUAAAAUGUUGGUUGUUAGUACAGAGGUGGUGAUUUCAUGAUUUGUGGUUAAUACAUGAUGUAAUACAAUCCACAUUGCAUAAUAUUUCCAUUUA